This is a long non-coding RNA of Gorilla gorilla gorilla (western lowland gorilla), 2191 nucleotides long. RefSeq lists it as uncharacterized. Lineage: Eukaryota; Metazoa; Chordata; Mammalia; Primates; Hominidae. The transcript has 5 exons. The record is from RefSeq and is a predicted model, not a curated record.
GAGGAGGCCCCAGCACCAUUGGCGGCCUGAGCCCUGCAAGGGUGUGGCCAGGAGCCACCCCCACCCCCGCACCUGACUUCACACACAUACCUGCCUUCAGCGCCCGCCCCAGAGCUCCCACGCCCCUGCCCGCCACAUCUGCAGUGCCGCACACAGACAGGAGACCAGCAUUACAGCAACAACCGAGGGGCCACUGCCUGAUGAAUUGCCAGAGGGGAACCACCAGCUCGGCUUUUAAUAACCGGAUCUGCAUCCUGCUGCUGCCCAGCUGGGCUGAGGGCCCUGACCACAGCUAAGGGGAGUCAUCACAGGGCUUCAGGGCUGGAAUUCCAGGUUUCUGCAAGAAUGACGGGCAGCAUGAUGCUCAGCUGCAUGUGGAGGCACUGAGGCUGGACGAACCCUUGGGACGGGCAGCCCAGCGGGUGGGUGAGGCCAUCUUCCCCAUCUACCCGAGGCCGGACCAACCCCGCAUGAACCCAAAGGCUCAGGAUCACGAGGACCUGUACCGCUACUGUGGCAACCUGGCUCUGCUCCGGGCUAGCACGGACCCCACAGCCCGACACUGUGGGAGCCUGGCCUACAGUGUGGCCUUCCAUGUCCACCGGGGCUCUCAGCCUCCAGUCUCAGACAGCCCUCCCGGGGCUGGCCAGCCAGAACUGAUGUCACCAUGCCCAGAGCCCCAGCUCCCCAUACUGCAGAUUUUGUGGGAGGCCCCGAGUGACCAGGGGACAGAAGCCUCCUCUGUGUGCCCACCCUCAAGCCCAUCCAGCAUCCACCCUGACCAGGAGGGGCUCAACCCCAACCCAGGACCCAGAACUGAUGAUGGUCAUGGGGGGCAGUGGAGCAGGGGCAGGAGAGCAGGAUGAGCAGGAAUGCAAUAAUCAAGAUGAUCCAGAAUGAGAAGGAAGCAGAAGACAAGGCUCAGUGUGAGACCAGGGUCGGGGCUCAGCAAACUUCCACGACUGGCUUUGAAUCAGAAUCAUUUUGCUUCUCAGCCACGGCCCAUGGGUUACACAGCCUUAAAUGGCCCUGCCAAUGCUGGUCACAGCAUUCCCUAGUCCUGGAGACUCGGGAACUAAAACAAUCAAUUCCCCUGAGCAAUAAAAUUAUGGACAAUGAACACCUUCCCUUCUCCAGUCCCCAAGCUUCCUGCUCUGUGUGGGUGGGGAGGUGAUGGUGGGAGGGACUGUCCUCCAUGAAUAUUUCCAGCAUGCACAAUCACAGGCUCCAAGAUAGAGGUCACUCCCUGAGCCCUUGACCCAAGGAUGGGGAUGCUGGGAGCAUGCAGGCAGGGGCUGCAGAGGGAAUUUACCCACCUGGAGGGCUAACUAUUUCCAGGUUCCUGCCAGCCAGAGCAGCAGCCCUUCCCAGAGGCUCAGCGUGCUUCCUUUCUGGGUAGAGCUCCACUAGACUCGUCCCACCCCCUCAGCGCUGCCUCCUGUCGCCUCUUGGCAGGUUUGAGACCAUAGAGCUAUGCCACUCCAGCUCCCAGAGCCUCUCCUUCCCCGGGGUAAGGGGGAGUUCAUCAGACCAGAUGAGGGUGGCCUGUUCAGUGCUGGACAGAGCACCCCGGGGUGAGGAAAGCAGCAAGGUGCAACCCAAAGCCGGCAAAAAGACCAUCAGAUGUGACUCUGCUGGACAUUUUUACGGGAAAAUGAUGACUCUUGGAGGGCUGGGAAGGGCGGGGGAGACCACAACAGCUGUGGGCCUGGGGCUGGGCUCUCAGAGGCCACAACGCUUCUGGUACCUCACUGCCCUCUCCAAGAGAUCCCUGAAAGUCUACUGACGAUCUCCCACUGGCAUAGCUGUUCAAGAGGGAAACUGGAAAUUCCCAGGGAUGAAAUUUCUGGAAACGCAAAUUUUAAGGUUCCUUGUUUGUAGCUCUGGGAGCCAUCCUGGGGGCUCCCUCGCUAGAAGGCCGGGAACUCCCUCCCACACAGCUCUGAGCUCUGGAAGGAGAAGGAGGGGUGCACUGGGCUCCCUCCCCCAGCAUUUACCUCUUCCCAACAAUCACAGUUUUGUUUCAUAGAAACGAUUUCGUUUCCCAGGAGCCUUUUAAAUGACACUUUCAAGGUUGUUUUUUUUUUUCUUUUUCUUUUCUUUUUUUUUUAAUUCCUUCCGUUUAAAACACCUUUUUUCCCCCCAAGGGGAAAAAAGGAGAAGAAAAGCUAAUAAAGCAAUCACCAAACGC